UCUGCAUGCCUAACUUGUCCUGGUCAUGACACAAGAACCCAGAUUUAGCUGAACUAGGAGCAAAAUUCUGCAUCAAUAGUGAAUAAGUCUCAUGAGAUCUGAUGGUUUUAUAAAGGGCAGUUCCUCUGCACAGGCUCUCCUGCCUGCCACCAUGUAAGAUGCGCCUUUGCUCCUCCUUUGCCUUCUGCCAUGAUUGUGAGGCCUCCCCAGCCAUGUGGAACUGAGGCUGAAGGGAGCCCUCCCGCCUGCUCCGCGAGGACGCAGUGUUCCUCCACUCGAGGUCACGGUAACAAGGCACCCUUGGAAGCAGAGAGCAGCCUUCACCAGACACAGAACCCAGCACCUUCAUCUCGGACAUCCUUGCCUCCGGAAUUGAACGCUGAGGCAGCAUGAUCCAACUGUGACCAAGAGACGGACGUGGACGAGAU
Long non-coding RNA from Gorilla gorilla gorilla (western lowland gorilla), 428 nucleotides. RefSeq lists it as uncharacterized. NCBI's taxonomy places the organism in Eukaryota, Metazoa, Chordata, Mammalia, Primates, Hominidae. The record is from RefSeq and is a predicted model, not a curated record. The transcript has 3 exons.